This is a long non-coding RNA of Hemicordylus capensis (graceful crag lizard), 1826 nucleotides long. RefSeq lists it as uncharacterized. Lineage: Eukaryota; Metazoa; Chordata; Lepidosauria; Squamata; Cordylidae. The record is from RefSeq and is a predicted model, not a curated record. The transcript is spliced from 5 exons.
CAUUAAGGAAUCUUGGCAGUCUGUAUCAGAGCUACUCAGCUCCGGCCCUCUGGCUGUAUUUGGACUACAGCUCCCAGCAUCCCCAGCCACAGUGGCCAAUAGGGAUGAUGGGAGUUAUAGCCCAAUAUCUGCAGGAGGGCUGAAGCUGAGUAGCGCUGGGCUACAUAGUGUAGACUUCCAGUUUCCCUUAUUGUUUUAAUAUUGCUGUAGUGUUAGAUUUUUGCUAAGCCACAAUCAAAAUACAUUUUUUCCAUAGAAGACAGGAUAGAUGUUGAUCAGACACAAGACAAAGUAAUGCAGAAGAGCAGAAUCAGGGGGAAAACUUGGAUCAGAAUUUUGAAAGCAUCUCGAAACCAACACACAGCUUUCCUAGAACAUGAGUUUGUCGUUUCGUAAUUCCCACUCAGCAGAGCAAGUCAGGAUCAUACAGACAACAGUCUCCUUCCCCUUCCAUAUGAAACUCACAAAAUCUGGACUUUGUCCCGCAAGCAAAGAGCAAGCUUUGGUCUACAAUGCAACAAAAUGAGAAGGUGGAAUCCUGAGAUUACUCUGAGCCAGAAUUUUUACAGAGCAUUGUUAUGUGUUCCAGAGUUUCCUUUGGAUGACAGAUCAAUGGAGACGUAACAUGUCUUAGCAAUAUAUGCUUUUUUUCCAAAUAUGCAGCAUAAUGGAACAAAAAAACACCCAACAACAACGAACAACAACUCUGACAAGCUUGGCUGGUUCUCUCAGGAACCUUUCAGCCAAACAGGACCUGCAGCCAUGAACUACAGUAAAAGCUUUGGAAGAUGAAAUCCACCUAUUCUUUUAACCUCUGAAAAUUACUAUCCUCUAGUAAAGUAUAGUAGUAUACAUGUAUAGAAAAGGUAUACAAACUCUGACUGAGAAGCAGCAAUCAAAAAUAAGAAAUUCACAGCCAAAGCAAUGUUUAGUACAAAGAACAUGCCAAAAUAAUAGAAACCACACAAAUUGUGGUCACUGGUGACUGGUCUGGUUAAAGCAGUUGUAUGUUGUAUCUGGCACUCUGCAUUCCAUUCAACAGAUAGAUCUCUUUACCAGAAACCCUCUGGAUAGUUAAACAUACAACAGAUGCAUUUAAAGCACACUGUAUGGGUCGGGGGGAAAGAACUUCGUUGGUGGUCACAAACACCAAAGAAUCAGGUAGAAAACUCUGAAUAGAGCAGGCACAUUAUAUGAAGGGGGGGAACUUCUGCCUUUCUUUUUCUUUUUUAAAAACCAAGUCUUUCACAGUCCAAACCCUGUAAUGUACCUGCUCAUGAAUUUACGAAUAAAUCCAGAUUAAGGUUUGUGUGUCUAAACUGCAAGAGCUCUUAUCUUUCAGACAGAUGGCCAUUGAGUAAUAUAAUUUGCUUUGGGAAAUCUGGACAUAUUUUAUCUGUAUGCAUCCCAGUCAGUGUUAAAAGCCACAUCUUUUUGCUGGAGGUAUAGCCUAUGCUACUCUGCAAGCUAUUAAACACCCCAUGGCUCCUGUUAAAGCAAAGUGUUUUCAAUUGCAUAGCAUGAGGCAAGCUUCUGCAAAAUAAUAAAUGGUUGGCUUUUGGGGAGGGGGGGUUACAUUAAUCCAUGUGCCCAAAGAUUUUGAGCCUGUAUAAACAUUUAAAAUAUUAAAAAUAUUUGAACUGGAAAACAUGCUCAUUGGCUCUAAUGCUUGUGGGUUUUCAUGAAAGAAAAUAACCAGCAUCUUCUUUUUGUUUGUACAACUCUCAAAUGUAAAAUGGGAUAAUAAAAAAAGAACGCAAAAUAAUUUCACUUCCUUUUUUAUAGGCUAUUUACAGCCACUUUAGUUCAUUUAUGGGCAUUUUGUU